This 71-nucleotide transfer RNA is filed under the name Camelus dromedarius (Arabian camel). It matches the Rfam family "tRNA". Rfam says of the family: Transfer RNA (tRNA) molecules are approximately 80 nucleotides in length. Their secondary structure includes four short double-helical elements and three loops (D, anti-codon, and T loops). The record is from Rfam by way of RNAcentral. RNAcentral also lists the same sequence under 1 other name. Lineage: Eukaryota; Metazoa; Chordata; Mammalia; Artiodactyla; Camelidae.
GAGGAUAUAGCCUAAUGGCAGAGCGGGUGCUUAGCAUGCACGAGGCCUGGGUUCAAUCCCCAGUACCUCCA